Molecule: unclassified non-coding RNA, 234 nt
Filed under: Hevea brasiliensis (rubber tree)
Lineage: Eukaryota; Viridiplantae; Streptophyta; Magnoliopsida; Malpighiales; Euphorbiaceae
Source: RNAcentral
AUCCGACGUCUGGCUAAAUCGAGCCAGCGUUUACGUGGCCGGAUGGAUCAUCCCAUAAUGAGGCAUAAGCGCGGCGGGGAAUUUUGUUCCUUAGAUCAUCACGUAUUUGUCUGAUACGUAGAAAUAGCCUUCUUCACUAUUCCAUUACUGAAGAUGUAGGGGCGUAUAAGUAAUAUAUACUUUUCAAUACUGUAGAGUUCACAAAAUUGUAGGCUGGCCGAAGUAAACGCAAAA